AGUCGAGGGGCAGCACAGGGUAGCAAUACCUGGGUGGCGACCGGCAAACGGGUGCGGAACACGUACAGAACCUUCCUUCGAGCGGGGAAUAGCCCAGAGAAAUUUGGAUUAAUACCCCAUAGUAUAAUGGUGUGGCAUCACAUUAUUAUUAAAGAUUUAUCACUUGAAGAUGGCUGUGCGUAUGAUUAGGUAGUUGGCGGGGUAACGGCCCACCAAGCCUACGAUCAUUAACUGGUGUGAGAGCACGACCAGUCACACGGGCACUGAGACACGGGCCCGACUCCUACGGGAGGCAGCAGUAAGGAAUAUUGGUCAAUGGACGCAAGUCUGAACCAGCCAUGCCGCGUGGAGGAUGAAGGUCCUCUGGAUUGUAAACUUCUUUUAUCUGGGACGAAAAAAGGCUUUUCUAAGUCGACUGACGGUACCAGAUGAAUAAGCACCGGCUAACUCCGUGCCAGCAGCCGCGGUAAUACGGAGGGUGCAAGCGUUAUCCGGAUUCACUGGGUUUAAAGGGUGCGUAGGCGGGUAUGUAAGUCCGUGGUGAAAUCUCCGAGCUUAACUCGGAAACUGCCAUGGGUACUGCGUAUCUUGAAUGUUGUGGAGGUGAGCGGAAUAUGUCAUGUAGCGGUGAAAUGCUUAGAUAUGACAUAGAACACCAAUUGCGAAGGCAGCUCACUACACAAAUAUUGACGCUGAGGCACGAAAGCGUGGGGAUCAAACAGGAUUAGAUACCCUGGUAGUCCACGCCCUAAACGAUGAUUACUCGACAUACGUGAUACACAAUGUGUGUCUGA
Molecule: ribosomal RNA, 794 nt
Filed under: uncultured bacterium
Lineage: Bacteria
Description: bacterial SSU rRNA
Rfam family: Bacterial small subunit ribosomal RNA
Source: RNAcentral